This 468-nucleotide ribosomal RNA is filed under the name uncultured bacterium. RNAcentral describes it as "partial 16S ribosomal RNA". It matches the Rfam family "Bacterial small subunit ribosomal RNA", at positions 28 to 507 of the family's 1533-position model. The record is from RNAcentral.
GACGAACGCUGGCGGCGUGCUUAACACAUGCAAGUCGAACGGUGAUGCUCCAGCUUGCUGGAGUGGAUCAGUGGCGAACGGGUGAGUAACACGUGAGCAACCUGCCCCAGACUCUGGAAUAAGCGCUGGAAACGGCGUCUAAUACUGGAUACGAAACUGGCCCGCAUGGGCAUGGUUUGGAAAUUUUUUCGGUUUGGGAUGGGCUCGCGGCCUAUCAGCUUGUUGGUGAGGUAAUGGCUCACCAAGGCGACGACGGGUAGCCGGCCUGAGAGGGCGACCGGCCACACUGGGACUGAGACACGGCCCAGACUCCUACGGGAGGCAGCAGUGGGGAAUAUUGCACAAUGGGCGAAAGCCUGAUGCAGCGACGCCGCGUGAGGGAUGACGGCCUUCGGGUUGUAAACCUCUUUCAGCAGGGAAGAAGCGAAAGUGACGGUACCUGCAGAAGAAGCACCGGCUAACUACGUG